GAAAGGGCGUGCAUACCGACACGCCUGGGAGCAGCCAAAGCUCCCCAGUUAGA
RNAcentral lists this non-coding RNA (53 nucleotides) under Dorea sp. D27. RNAcentral describes it as "S4-Clostridia ribosomal protein leader". It matches the Rfam family "S4-Clostridia ribosomal protein leader". The record is from RNAcentral. Lineage: Bacteria; Bacillati; Bacillota; Clostridia; Lachnospirales; Lachnospiraceae.